GGGGGCGUAAAGGUUUCGACAGGGGUAGGUGUAGCAUAGGUAGCGAGUCGGGGGUUCAUCAACCCGUUAGUAAGGUGAAACUUUUAUUAAAUAUAAAAGCAAACAACGAAUACGCUUUAGCAGCUUAAUGCUAACCCUUUGUUUAUCUAAUCCCGCGGGAUUUACAAAGGGCCAAUAGUGGGAUACCUAAUAGCCAAUUCUCGGAGGCUACCAUGGGAAUUUUAUCGAGAUAGCAACUAAGAAGCCUGUUUGUAGGCGUCAAAGGAGCGAAUUUCAAAAUACAAACUGCACUCGGAGAAACUUAUGAUACAAUGCUUUUGGACAGGAGUUCGACUCUCCUCGCCUCCACCA
Molecule: transfer-messenger RNA, 351 nt
Filed under: Selenomonadales
Lineage: Bacteria; Bacillati; Bacillota; Negativicutes
Also listed under: 2 other names
Description: JAGPMH01 sp018052945 Standard tmRNA
Rfam family: transfer-messenger RNA
About the family: Bacterial tmRNA, also known as 10Sa RNA or SsrA, is named for its dual tRNA and mRNA-like properties.
Source: RNAcentral